Eubacterium sp. is the source of this 342-nucleotide non-coding RNA. It matches the Rfam family "Bacterial RNase P class A". Rfam says of the family: Ribonuclease P (RNase P) is a ubiquitous endoribonuclease, found in archaea, bacteria and eukarya as well as chloroplasts and mitochondria. The record is from Rfam. Lineage: Bacteria; Bacillati; Bacillota; Clostridia; Eubacteriales; Eubacteriaceae.
UGGGCAGGCCAGACAAUCGCGUGCACAGCAUGAGGAAAGUCCGGGCUCCGCAGGGCAGGGAUGCCGUGAUAACGUCCGGCGUAGGUAACUAUAGGGAAAGUGCAACAGAAACACACCGCCGAAACGGGUCAUGCCGUGGUAAGGUUGAAAUGGUGAGGUAAGAGCUCACCGGCGUCAUGGAGACAUGGCGGCCGUGUAAACCCCAUCCGGAGCAAGGUCGGAGGGCAGUAUGGUGGCGGCCCGUCACCGCCCGAAAGGUGGACCGCAUGAGCGCGCAGAGAUGCAGCGCCUUAGAUAGAUGAUUGUCGAAUACAGAACCCGGCUUACAGACCUGCCCAUUUU